RNAcentral lists this transfer RNA (75 nucleotides) under Pseudomonadota bacterium. RNAcentral describes it as "Proteobacteria bacterium tRNA-Lys". It matches the Rfam family "tRNA". From Rfam's summary of the family: Transfer RNA (tRNA) molecules are approximately 80 nucleotides in length. Lineage: Bacteria; Pseudomonadati; Pseudomonadota. The record is from RNAcentral. RNAcentral also lists the same sequence under 2 other names.
GGAUCGGUAGCUCAAUGGUAGAGCAGUUGACUCUUAAUCAAUUGGUUGAAGGUUCGAGUCCUUCCCGGUCCACCA